GACAGAGGGUGCAAACGUUGCUCGGAUUUACUGGGCGUAAAGCGCAAGUAGGCGGUCUUGUAAGUCGGGUGUGAAAACCCGGGGCUCAACCCCGGCAGUGCACACGAUACUGCGAGACUGGGGUACUGAAGAGGAGAGCGGAAUUCUCGGUGUAGAGGUGAAAUUCGUAGAUAUCGGGAGGAACACCAGUGGCGAAGGCGGCUCUCUGGGCAGAUACCGACGCUGAGAUGCGAAAGCGUGGGAAGCAAACAGG
RNAcentral lists this ribosomal RNA (253 nucleotides) under uncultured bacterium. RNAcentral's name for it is "partial 16S ribosomal RNA". It matches the Rfam family "Bacterial small subunit ribosomal RNA", at positions 524 to 776 of the family's 1533-position model. The record is from RNAcentral.